RNAcentral lists this transfer RNA (71 nucleotides) under Spirochaetaceae bacterium. Its description in RNAcentral is "tRNA-Gly". It matches the Rfam family "tRNA". Rfam says of the family: Transfer RNA (tRNA) molecules are approximately 80 nucleotides in length. Their secondary structure includes four short double-helical elements and three loops (D, anti-codon, and T loops). Further hydrogen bonds mediate the characteristic L-shaped molecular structure. tRNAs have two regions of fundamental functional importance: the anti-codon, which is responsible for specific mRNA codon recognition, and the 3' end, to which the tRNAs corresponding amino acid is attached (by aminoacyl-tRNA synthetases). tRNAs cope with the degeneracy of the genetic code in two manners: having more than one tRNA (with a specific anti-codon) for a particular amino acid; and 'wobble' base-pairing, i.e. permitting non-standard base-pairing at the 3rd anti-codon position. Lineage: Bacteria; Pseudomonadati; Spirochaetota; Spirochaetia; Spirochaetales; Spirochaetaceae. The record is from RNAcentral.
GCGGAUGUCGUAUAUCGGUAUUACCCGAGCUUCCCAAGCUCGUGAGGAGGGUUCGACUCCCUUCAUCCGCU